GGAGAAUAAUUCUGACUCUAUAGCUAUAGCUAUCAUCUAAAUGUGAAUUUUGAUGUAUCAUGGCCGACCCACCACGUGCUUUUCCCCUUCACGUCCACAUGUAGAGUUAAUUACAUUGUUGAACACAUUAAAAAUGUGCGUUAAUUCAACAUGCGGCUGCGAACUUGGUUUCAGAAAUAUUCACCACGUAAAACAUUAAACAUGUGACUCAAUUCAAACAUGCGGCUGAGAACUUGGCACCCCAAAGCCAUCUCUGUUUUCUAUAUAAGCCGCUGCAACAUCGGAGCCCAAAUUGGUGUUGGAGUUAUUAAUCUCGAUAUCCCCAAAUAAUCAAAGCUCUCUUCUUCAUCAUUAUUUUAGCAUACUAGCUAAGCCCAUUUCACAAAGUGUUUGGGGAAGUAUCUGCAUGCCAGUGUACAUUUAGUAAAGAAAAAGAAGAAAAAAAUAAAGUUACUUCUCCCUACGUACGUGCAUGGCUGGUGCUACUUAGCUUCAUCGUUAUCAUCUUUCUCUUCGCCCUACAUACGUUCAUCCUCAUCAACUAUAUAUAUAUAUGUGCAGUUGGAAAUAGAAGAGCUCUGAUAUAUAUUCAGAUUUUAUAUAUACGAUCGAUCAUCAAGUUUACGGCUAAAGAGAUCGACAUGGAUGAGCAACGUACGAGACAACGAUGAUAGUAAAGCUCGACUAUCAAGUCAUUGAGGUUUCACAAUUUUUGCAUGGUCGGUUGCCAAGUUUUCGUAUGCUGCGUUUUGGUCAAGGAGAUUCAUGUAGCAUGUGAUAUAUAUAUACAUAUAGCGUAUAAUUAAGAUUGUAGAUACAUUUCUAAAGCCCAGAGUUGUCAUUAUAAAAGUUUUAAGGUCACAAGCUCUUAUAUGUAUCGUAUCACACGUAUGUGUAGGAGAGACAACUCUAUAAAAUUGAAAUGUUAUUUUCAUAUAGAAACCGUAUUUUUUAUGUUACAACUUAUACAAAAAGAGAUUAAUGAGAUAAAUAUACAAUAUUGAUGAAAACAAGUCGAGAAUUAUAUUAGAGGCAUAUGAUGGGAAUAAUUAGGAAGAGUUUUAGAUGGCAAUAGUUAGGCGGAGGCUAGGGUUUGAUUUGGCAUGGGAAUGCACAAAUUUGUAAGAAAGCUAAAGAUAAAAUGAGCUAGGAAUAGACCAUCUAGACAUAGCUUUC
This 1176-nucleotide long non-coding RNA is filed under the name Linum usitatissimum (flax). RNAcentral's name for it is "long non-coding RNA (LUSI_LNC004223)". Lineage: Eukaryota; Viridiplantae; Streptophyta; Magnoliopsida; Malpighiales; Linaceae. The record is from RNAcentral.